UAUAUAUAUAUAUAUAUAUAUUAUAUAUAUACGUAUGUUGUUGAGGCUCUAUAGAUGGGGCUUGUUCACCAUGUAGCCUUAUUCCUCCACAGGAUGAAUAUCUGUUUGAUGUCAAAUUGCACUGAUUGUAAAUCACCGUUUUCACCUGUGUUCAUUCUGCCCAGCAUUUCUAUCUGUGCAUAAACUUAUAGAUUCCAUUUUUGUUUCAUUCUCAGGAAUGCUCUUAUCUGUGUUUGUAUUGGUAAAAGGAGUAGCUGAAUCAGGGUGGUUAACUAGGUCUGUAGAUGUAGGCAAUGCACAUAGUCUACGGCAUUUACUAUCUGUCCUUAGGACCACACACUCUUCACUUUGCACGCCACCUUUUUUCAUGCAAAUUGAUUUAGAAAUGACAUUUAUCGUGCAGGGUUUCCACUUGGAAGCCAACCGCACCACGAGGGCUGACAAAAAAAUGUCCACCGAGCCAGCGACAGCUCAAUUUAUGCGCUCGGAGGAAGACUGAGUGGAAAAGAACACACAGCAGAUAAACAAUUACCACAGCCUUAGAUUGACUAGAGCUCUGCUUUGUAUGUAGCUGCACAUAUAUCAUGAAUAUGUAUCAGUUGCCGCAUAUCAUGGUGCAUUCUAAAGUCUAACACCCAUGAAAAUCCAUUUAAGCAGCAUAAUAGGAUCUACUUGAUCUACUUGACAUGCUAAAUCUUAUAAAUAUACAUGAGAUUAUUUUUUUUUUGGCACGAAUGUAUUUUUCCUUAUUUUUAAAUUGCAUGAAAAAAGCAAGGAUAUGUUAUUCCGAGAGGAAUAAAAUGUGGAUGUAUUAAUAGAGAGUUUUUUAAAAAAUCAGCAAACAGUCCAAUUUACUGUUAAUUAUCAUUAAGCACAUUGAAAUGACACAUUAGCAUUUCAGACAGACUAAAGAAAACAAUUCAGUGGCUCUCCUCUUGAUCACCCUGUAAUUAUCAUUCUUUUGGCUGUGCUUUAAUGAACAGAGAGUGUAGGAAAAGCUCAUAAGUACAUGUUAUGGCCUUUUACCACUAGGGUACCCACAAAACUGAAAAAUGAUAUGUCUGGUUCACUAUAUUUUCUGCUUCCUGGCAUAAGUAUAGGUUUGUUUUAAGAGGGAAUGUUAAUUAAUUGUAAAAGGCUUUAUUUAACUAAACAAGAGAUUUGCUUUAUUUUAUUUAUUUUAUUUAUUUAUUUAUUUUAUUUGACAUUUUCUGGUUUAAAAAAAUCCUGCGCUGCUUUAUUAUAUGCUCUUAUACCACAUCAAUCCAUUUAAGGGAGCAUUAAUAAAUGCACAUUAUAUUUGCAGUGAAAUUGAUCAUAUAAAUAAUCAUUCAGACUGUAAUAUCUAACAGAAAUAAUAAAUUGUUGUAUCUUAGCUCUUUUUAAUAAUCCCACACCAUGAAUACCCCAAGCAUGCGGUGUUUUUUUUUUUUUUUUUUUUUUAAUAAAUAACGCUAGAAAAUAAUUCUUAAUAUUCCAAAUCAUCCAAAUGAAAAGGAUAUAACAGCAUGCAGGCUGCAGCAACAGACACACAAAAAAAGCACUGAGCUCAUAUUCCCCUCCCCCUAAACAACUGGAAUAUCUGUCCUUUAUUGAUUAUCUAUGCUACUGAUUAUAUUCAUAAUCAUUUGGGCAUUAUAUCAUACUCAUUAUAUUCAUCAAAAUUUUCUCCACUGAAAAAAAUAUUCUAGUAAAGAAUAUGCAUUGUGCUGUUAUGAUGUCAUUUACAUUGAUUAAAAUGUUUUAAUAGGAAGAUUUUGCUUGUUGUGGAUUCAGAUUUUAUUUAAUAUUGUUGAUAAAUAACCUCAUUGAGAAGUGUAAUGAUAUCACUUGGUCUCUUCUACUGGCAUUAUUCAAAUGACCUCAGUGAGUACACUUUGGAGAAUACUGUGUUUAUAUACCACAAGGAUCCUCAAACAGAAUGCCUUUUAUAUUCAUAUGUUUAUAUUUUUUUAAAUAAAUAAAGCUGUAUUUAAGUGAAAUGUAUGCAUUUGUAUAUUUUGUCUCAGGUGUAAGAAUGUUGGUUUUAAUAUAAAUAUUCAGAGACCUAGUGCAGUAUAAUAAU
Ictalurus punctatus (channel catfish) is the source of this 2065-nucleotide long non-coding RNA. Lineage: Eukaryota; Metazoa; Chordata; Actinopteri; Siluriformes; Ictaluridae. The record is from Ensembl.